GGCCCCUUGGCGAAAUCGGCAGACGCGGGAGACUUAAAAUCUCCUUCCGCACGGAGUCCCGGUUCGAGCCCGGGAGGGGCCA
RNAcentral lists this transfer RNA (82 nucleotides) under Myxococcales bacterium. RNAcentral describes it as "tRNA-Leu". Lineage: Bacteria; Pseudomonadati; Myxococcota; Myxococcia; Myxococcales. The record is from RNAcentral.